GCGUACACGGUGGAUGCCCUGGCAGUCAGAGGCGAUGAAGGGCGUGCUAAUCUGCGAUAAGCGCCGGUAAGGUGAUAUGAACCGUUAUAACCGGCGAUACCCGAAUGGGGAAACCCAGUGUGACUCGUCACACUAUCAUUAACUGAAUCCAUAGGUUAAUGAGGCGAACCGGGGGAACUGAAACAUCUAAGUACCCCGAGGAAAAGAAAUCAACCGAGAUUCCCCCAGUAGCGGCGAGCGAACGGGGAGGAGCCCAGAGCCUGAAUCAGCAUGUGUGUUAGUGGAAGCGUCUGGAAAGGCGCGCGAUACAGGGUGACAGCCCCGUACACAAAAGCGCAUGUGCUGUGAGCUCGAUGAGUAGGGCGGGACACGUGGUAUCCUGUCUGAAUAUGGGGGGACCAUCCUCCAAGGCUAAAUACUCCUGACUGACCGAUAGUGAACCAGUACCGUGAGGGAAAGGCGAAAAGAACCCCGGCGAGGGGAGUGAAAAAGAACCUGAAACCGUGUACGUACAAGCAGUGGGAGCCCCAC
RNAcentral lists this ribosomal RNA (531 nucleotides) under Salmonella enterica subsp. enterica. RNAcentral describes it as "partial 23S ribosomal RNA". It matches the Rfam family "Bacterial large subunit ribosomal RNA", at positions 15 to 585 of the family's 2925-position model. Lineage: Bacteria; Pseudomonadati; Pseudomonadota; Gammaproteobacteria; Enterobacterales; Enterobacteriaceae. The record is from RNAcentral.